AGAGACGCCAAUGGGUGAAGCAUGGCGAGGAUUUACAAUGAAGCCUGACACAUAGUUACCGCCAAUGACCUCUCCAAAGCCCCAACCUCAGCCAUCAGAGAGUUCCAUUCUCAGGAAACACACACACACACGAAGGCAAAAACACGCGCGCACACAUAACAAACAGACACACACACACGACGUAACAGAAAGCGGAGAAAGCACAGAGAUGAUAAGGAAUAAUCUAAAGACUGAUGUGGAUUGUUGUUGUCAGACUAACUCAAAUUUACAGUAUGGAAUGAUAAUAACAAACUCAUUUGGUCAUGAAAUUUAAAACCUUGACCACUGAGAGCGCUGGAAGGAAUACUAGUGCUCCGACUUCAUAAUGACACCCAAUGAUGUAAUGCUGUUGCUCCUUCUCAAAUCACACCAGAGGGGAAGGUCCCGGAUGGAGAGGACGCAAGGAAUCAAGGAAAGAUCAUUGAGAUGCAGUCCAUCAGGGAAAAGAGAUCCUCCACCAGGUCUUCCCGUAGCACCUUUUCAAAGCUGGUUUCUUCCCAGCAUCAGUACAAAUGAACAGACAAAUGAUAAGUUGGACAGUAGUGACUUCAUGUGUAAAUCAUACCAAAAUAUGGACUCAAGACAUUGCUGACAUUUUUCCUGUGUACUCCAGUAGAUAUUUCCUUUGUAUAUUUAGGUUGCUUUAAUGAGUUAUUAUGCUGUUACUGAGAUGACCAUGCUGGUGUAUAGUUCAACACCAGUGUUAUUUACAGUAAAGGAAAUAUUCAGUUAUGAGAUAUUUCUUUGUUUUCUUCCUCAUCUUUUGGGAUACCAUUUAUCCUUUUUUUCUGCUGAGAAUAUAUAUCCAUUGUUUAUGUAAACCUAUCAGCUUGAGUUGAGAUCUAUAAACAAAUACAGCAGAGAGAAUGCAUGAAUACAUUUAACAAAGGAAAUGUUUGUGGUUAUGCUGACAUUGAGCUCUCCCAUCCUGAGGUUAUGUGGUGUGUGUGUGUGUGUGUGUGUACACUAUGUGUAUGUGAUGUCCAGUCCACAACGAUAUGGGCGGUCUACCCUGCAGUGAAUGUGAUGCUCAGCCACAAGACAGUCAAGCUGCUCUCAGUCAGGCCACUGCAGUGGGGGAGAUUUAUGUGGUCAGGUCAUGUGGAGGACUGGCACGGUGGACUUGCAGUCACUAACCAUUACGGUCACCCCCGGGUCUAACGUCACACAAUCCUCUGUAACAUGAAAGCUGUACUGUACUGAUACUGACCCUCUCCUGCAAUCCAGAGUUCUGACAGACAGUAUAGGAAAAAGGUGCAAAAUAACUGUCCAAAAUCAUGAAUUAAUCAGUAUUGUUAAUCAGAAUGUAUUGCCUUUAACACAUACAGCUCAUAACUGUAUGAAGAAGGGUCUCAUAAAAACUCAAGCUAAUGGAUAGUUUUAUAAUUAUCUGCUAAUACAAUAACUUGAC
Molecule: long non-coding RNA, 1450 nt
Filed under: Salmo salar (Atlantic salmon)
Lineage: Eukaryota; Metazoa; Chordata; Actinopteri; Salmoniformes; Salmonidae
Description: lncRNA (ENSSSAG00000120504.1)
Source: RNAcentral